This 2499-nucleotide long non-coding RNA is filed under the name Manihot esculenta (cassava). Its description in RNAcentral is "long non-coding RNA (MESC_LNC000988)". Lineage: Eukaryota; Viridiplantae; Streptophyta; Magnoliopsida; Malpighiales; Euphorbiaceae. The record is from RNAcentral.
AGAUUUUCUCUAAAAUCGCUUAAUAUUUAAAUUUUUUUGAGUCCAUCAAAUAUCUGAAAAUAUUUUCCAAAAAUAUUUUUUGAAAAACAAACAGAGCCUCAUUAUAUAAUUAAUAAUUAUUAUAUUUGAUCCGUCCACCAUAACUUGCAUUUGAAAAAGUUGAGAGUUUUGCAUUUUUUUAAUUGAUUUAAUUAUUUUUCUCUAACAUAUUUUAUGUAGAUAUUUUUCUUUUGCUGAAUGAAUGGAGCUGAUUCUUGGAGAUGUAGCUUUUUCUUUAGUCAUUUUUACUUGUGUGCUUUAUGCUAUUGAUUUUAACUAAUUAUUCCUGUUUGAAGCCACAGAUUUUGUUUUCUUAGUUGUGCAUGAUAAACAGCUCAAUGAUGAGAACUCAUUAUACAGAGUGGUGACAUUGUUUUUCAGUGUGAGCCUCCUUUAUCUCUUACUGCCCACUUAUCAUUUGGUUGGAUCUAAUUCAGCUUCUCCUUCUUCUUCUUCUUCAUGUCUUAUUAUUAUUAUUAUUAUUAUUGUUAUUGGUGGUGGUGGCGGUGGUGUUGGUGGUGUUACCAUUAUCAUUUGAGAAUCAAGUAGGCUUUAACUGAAAAACAAAGUCUUCACCAACUAUGAAUUGUUAGAGCUAUGAGAUCUGAGAGCUUAACAUCUUACAAUAACACGUUGGUCAAUACUUUAAAUGCAAAUGCCAAUGAAGGUUGUGCCGCACAAAGUCAAUUUACAUGUUUCCCAUCGUUAGCUUNNNNNNNNNNNNNNNNNNNNNNNNNNNNNNNNNNNNNNNNNNNUCCUUUAUUUUCUGUCAAGUUUGUGCUGGCUUUGAUGUUAAAUUGUUUUGCCCUUCAUUGUUUGUUGUCAAUUGCGUAUGUUAGAAAUAAUACCACCAAAGUGUAUUAUGCACAAUAAUGGACAAAUCAACCUAUUUGAGUGGUUGCAUUUUUCUUUCUUCAUUGGUCUCUCACCACUACCUGUAUGUGUUUGUGUGUUUUUGUUGUAAUGCCAGGGUCUAUUUCUGUUGAAUCUAUGAGAGCUCAGGGUCUAUUUCUGAAUUUAGCUCUGGUCCUUGGUGAUUAUUAUUGAAACAUGGGUGGUAUUAUACAGGAUAUUGUGCUAGCAUUCGGGAUGUGAUUUGAAAUCAUGCAAUUGCAUGUUUAGGCUUCAUAUUUUGAAGCACUUGCUGAAGAAUCCAGUUUUUCCAUAUUUCAGUUAAUUUUUUUGUCCUGCAGGUGUCACGUUUUAAUUCACGUUAGAUGUCAAACUUUUGCAUAAUUUUUAAUUAUGAAGGUCUCAUCACUUGGUUCCUAGGUUUUUCAUUGUUGAAGUUCUGUUUUCCAUGACAAUUUCGGUUGAAAUUUAGAAGUUGCAAGAUUUUGAGCUUUUUGAGGUUGGGUUGUGGAGUAUUGAUGUGUUGGAGUUCAUGCCACAACCUUACUCUUAUGAUUGGGGAUUAUGGCUAAUUAACAAUGGUUUACUUUAUGGCUAAUUUGAUUAUUCAAUUUUAAUGUAUUUCCUAAAGCACUUUCAACUUUAAUUGAAAUAUCAUUAAUCUCUCUUUGACUUGCUGUUGUACGUUUCUAGGUUAAUUCAAUUACAAUGUUAUUUCUCUUUUUAUAACUCAAUUUUAUCUUUUCUAACUAACCAUUGUCUAAGUCUGGAAAGAACAAUUAUCCUAUCCAAGGAGACAGGAAAGCCACGCAAAGUAAAAGUAGAGAAAAUAAGCUCUCCCUCAGAAAUCUAGAAAAAAGAAAUGAAUCUUCAUUUUAGAUUGUCAUUUCGUAUAAAAUUCUCUGUAUGAAAUAGCUUAUUCGAAGUACUUAUUUUAUUAUACAAUAUUAUUAUUUUUUAAAUCUAAACUUCCAAUUAAAAUUUUAAAUUUAGAAUUUAAUUAGCUUUAUUUUAAUAAUUAUGUGUAAAAUAUAUCCAAUUAUUAAUUAUAAUACUAUAUUAUUAUUAUUAUUAAAAAUAUUAAUAAUACUCUAUUCAUCCCAUAAAUAUAAAUAUAUUUACUUUUUUUCAUAUAGAUUUAGAAAACAUAGUUUAUGGAAAUAAAUUUAUAUUAUUUUUAAUAUAUAUUAAAAAGGGUUAAAUUCGGUAGUUAACUAAAUAAAUUACUCCAUUUCAAGAAAAAACUAAAUAAAUUACUAUACAAAACAAUUAUUUAUAAUUUGAGACAAAAUAAACCUGAUUUAAUUGUUUUUUAAACUUUUUUCACUUGUUGAGCUAGUCAACUGAGGACUUUAGAGGCGUUGGUCAAAAGCAUGUUGUAAUUUUGUGGGGGGGCAAUGGAAACAGAGUUAUAAGCUCUUGGCUUUUGAAUUUGGUUCAUAUCUUGUCUUAAUUCUCUGUCAAAUUUUGAAUUAAUUGAUUUGGUCUGCUUCACGUCUUUUCGUAUUUCUCUGUCAAAGAUUGAAUUAUUUGAUUUGACUGAUAACACCAACUGAAGUUAUGUUCCUAACAGAAAACAAAAGAAAUCAGCAAUUUAUUCAUAUGGUA